CCUACGGGGAGCAGCAGUGAGGAAUAUUGGUCAAUGGGCGCGAGCCUGAACCAGACAAGUAGCGUGAAGGAUGACUGCCCUACGGGUUGUAAACUUCUUUUAUAAAGGAAUAAAGUGAGGCACGUGUGCCUUUUUGUAUGUACUUUAUGAAUAAGGAUCGGCUAACUCCGUGCCAGCAGCCGCGGUAAUACGGAGGAUCCGAGCGUUAUCCGGAGUUAUUGGGUUGAAAGGGAGCGUAGAUGGGUUGUUAAGUCAGUGGUGAAAGUUUGCGGCUCAACCGUAAAAUUGCAAUUUAUACUGGCAGUCUUUAGUACAGUUGAGGUCGGCGGUCUUCGUGGUGUAGCGGUGCCAUUCUUCGCUCUCAC
RNAcentral lists this ribosomal RNA (365 nucleotides) under uncultured bacterium. RNAcentral's name for it is "partial 16S ribosomal RNA". It matches the Rfam family "Bacterial small subunit ribosomal RNA", at positions 338 to 700 of the family's 1533-position model. The record is from RNAcentral.